AAGAGUAUUUUUAAGUUAGCAUAUAUGGAUAAAUAUUAAAAGUAUCCGCAGCGAUAUGCAAUUUUGAAGUUAAAAUGGAAGGAAGGAACUCGGCAAAUCUUAGCUUCGCCUGUUUAUCAAAAACAUGGCUCUCUGUUACUUUAAUAUAGGGAGUCGGACCUGCCCAGUGAAAUUUUUUAACGGCCGCGGUACCCUGACCGUGCAAAGGUAGCAUAAUCAUUUGCCUUAUAAUUGAAGGCUUGUAUGAAUGGUUUGACGGGAGCAUUGCUGUCUCCCUCCCAGUAGAUAGAACUUGACCUUUAGGUGAAGAGGCCUAAAUAUAAUUGAAAGACAAGAAGACCCUGUCGAGCUUUAAAAUUAGAUUAGAGGGAAAUAUAAAAUAGCCUAAAUUUAUAGCUAAUUGGUUUUUUGGUUGGGGCGACCGAGGAACAGCAAGAGCUUCCUUUAUCUAAGCUGACUUAUAGGUAUUGAUCCAGCCUAAAGCUGAUUAAAAAAAUUAGUUACCGCAGGGAUAACAGCAUAAUCUCUCUUAAGAGACCAAAUCGAAAGAGGGGGUUGUGACCUCGAUGUUGGACUAGAAUAUCCUGAAGAUGCAAAU
Molecule: ribosomal RNA, 598 nt
Filed under: Sulcospira paludiformis
Lineage: Eukaryota; Metazoa; Mollusca; Gastropoda; Pachychilidae
Description: partial large subunit ribosomal RNA
Rfam family: Bacterial large subunit ribosomal RNA
Source: RNAcentral